Molecule: long non-coding RNA, 2909 nt
Organism: Columba livia (rock pigeon)
Lineage: Eukaryota; Metazoa; Chordata; Aves; Columbiformes; Columbidae
Exons: 3
Source: RefSeq, a predicted model, not a curated record
CAUUUGAAUCUGUGGGAAAGAAGGUUGGCAUUAUGUUGUUCUGAAAGCAGAUGCUGUACAUGACAAGCCCUUUAGACUGUCUUUUUUGCAAAAAGAAUUUGACAGACAUAUGGAAGGAGUCGCUGUGAAAGAAGCACAAGAUACUCUUUCAAAUUUGUGGACUUAUAAAAUUUACUAUUUGUGCUAGACUUGAGUGAAUAAUUCUCACAGAAUGAUUUAUCUGGUGUAUUCAGCUGCUCUUUCUUCUUGUGGAACAGGCUGUAUUUUCCCACUAAAUUAUUAUUAUUUGUUGAUUCUUUGAAUGUUGUUUAAACUUGUAUGAGUUGAUCCCAAGAAUGUUUCCUCCGCUAUUUGAUACUUUUCAGACUGUACGAAGUAUUUGAGCACAUAAAACACAAGAAGAAGCUGUGCUGAAGAUGGUACUGACUGCACAUGCAAGCCCUUCCAGUCUGGGAUCUUCUGACCAUCAGAGACACAGUGUUUGUGGAAUACCCUGUCACAUGUCACAGUUUUAUACAGGAAUCAAGAAAGCAAAGUUGAAGGAACCACAGGGCUGAAGCUUUGAGUCUGAUUGCCGUGUCUGAUGGAACUUUUGGUCUUCCUGUCUCUCAAUGCUUCUGAUCCGUUUGCAUGUCAGUGGCAGGUAACAAUACUUUUAUUUCUCAUAAUUGCUGGUUCUGCCCACUUCACUGUCUCUAUCCAACUCCUGCCUUCUUUAGUAAUAACACUAAUUAAGCUCUGCACCUUGGAUGUUUUGGUUGCUGUUUUCAUGGCUGAAAACAUGAUUCUUAAAUGCAUUUGAGUCUGAGGAGAAGGGGCAUGCUUGCUGGUUUCAAAGAAUGAAAGGUCCUUUCUUUUGCAACCCACAGAAUAAAGUUGCCUCAGUUACAUUUUGCUCUUGUUCUGUUUUACCAAUAUUGCAAAACCCUGCAUCAUUUAUAUUUUAGAUAUUUUUAAAAUAUUGAUGUGUCUUCCUAAGUGUAAUAACCUUUUUUCUUUUUGAUUUCACAAUUUUAGUUUGACCUAGUCCAGCUAUACGUUACCUCAGAUCCCUAGUAUCCUUAAGACUACUUUUUUUCUAAUUUUCUUUAUAGUUAAGCUGUGGAUUGAAUCUCUUCCGCGUACUUAAGCUGUUCACAUAGAAUUCAGUCUUACAGCUCUAGCCACAUAUUUCUAUAAAGCUAUCCUUUAACAUAUUAAGGAUAUGAAUCAUCCUGUUUAAGAAAACUCAAAAUAAGAAAUCAUUUAACAAUAGAACAACAAUAACAUCAACAAAAUAACCUAAAUUGACUUUGUAAUGCAUCAGCAGCCCCAUCUCUCCACUAUCAAUAUCACAAGUUAAAGGGAAACUGGGGUUGUGAAUUAUUUUCUUUUUCAAAUACAUCCUAAGAAAACCAACCCUGGGACCUGAUUAUAUGUAAAAAAAAAAAAAAAAAAGAAAAAAAAUUAACACAGUAGUGAAUAUUACGUUUUGCAGUCAGGUCAGGAGCAAGAAAGAGUGAAUUGAUUAAUUUUUAUAUAUAUAUACAUAUAUCAAGCAUUCCUUAUAGAUUUUUCUCUAUGUGCUUUCCUGAUAAAUGCUCUGCUCUGCAGACGUAAGAAUAACUACAAAUCUGGAAAAUAUGGACUAUAUGGAAAAAUAAAUACAUUUUGAUUUUUAGCUUACAUUUAGACAAAUGGGUACACAGAAAAUAGAAAUCUACAACCUAGCUGUAAAUAAUAAGAAGGAAGGCAUACAUAAAUUAAAAUUAACAAGAGUACCAAGAUUAACAGCAAGCAUCAUAUAUUGUUAUUAGAAGAAAGUGAAAGAAAAUGUCAGUGUAGUACUUCAGAAAAUUAUUCUGUAAGUGCAAGAGGAUGGGGUGAUGCUUUUUUCCACUCACUGGCAGAUUGUGCAAAUUUUUCUGACUUUGAUGUCUCCUUGUUUCUAAUAAUUUGUGUUUUAAUUUCUUGUCUAAGUGUUUUUUGCAUGUGUGUUCUAAAACAAGGAGCUAUAAUAUUGCUUUGAAUAAAAUAUAGGCUGUUCUGAUUAUUCAUAACCCCCUUUUCAUUUAUUUCAGUGAGAGAUGGUAUAUUAUAUUAAAAAUCUCCUUGGGUUUUGAAGACUGUCAAAGGUUUUGACUGCAGGGUGACAAUAAAACCGUGGCAGAUGUAUUGUUAACCUCCUCUCCACCCCCCCUUUUUCCUUCCCCCCCCCCACCUCUUGCUACUCAGGACAGGUGCUUGGGAGGGAAAGAAGGACAGAGAGAAGAGAGUUGGAAAAAUCAAAAAUGUUUUACUAAUGCUACUAAUAAGAAUAGAGAAAAUAAUACAAAAGAUACAAAACCAAUCUUGAAAGUCUCAGCAACUGCAGUGCCAGAGCCCAAAGUCCUGGAUUGGACUCUGCAGCAAACCACAGCUGGAUUCAGUCUGUCACUAGGCCUCAGUUCGCAGGGACGACUCACAAGAUCCUCUCUUAAUGUCAGCCAUAAGCAAAAAGAAAAACGGAAGAGAUCCUCAUGAUCUCCCACUUUUAUAUGAAGUAUUCACGUGAAUGGAAUGUUAUACUUCAUUCGUCAGUUUCUUGGUCACCUGUUUCUCAUUGCCCCUCUCGUGAGAGGUGCAUCCAUUUGUUAUCAAUAACUUCGCAUUCCAUUGCUAUGUUCACCAAAACAUGUAUCUGGUUCUCCAGGAAAAUGCAGCUAAUAUGAAAGCUUUAGCUGGCAGGCAAAUUCAGCAGAAGAGAAACUUGUUUUUUAACAAAACCAGGACAAAGACCAAGGGAUGAAGUUCUUGCAGAGAAAAGUCAAGUGAUUCAAGUACCAAUGUUUUAUGGCCAGAAACACUCCUAAGCAGACAGGACUGCCACCAGCCUGCAAGAAAACAAGUAGAUGAUGGAUUUGAAGAAGGGGCAGGCAAAAGAGCAACAG